Molecule: ribosomal RNA, 423 nt
Filed under: uncultured bacterium
Lineage: Bacteria
Description: bacterial SSU rRNA
Rfam family: Bacterial small subunit ribosomal RNA
Source: RNAcentral
AUUGAACGCUGGCGGCAUGCCUUACACAUGCAAGUCGAACGGCAGCACGGGAGCAAUCCUGGUGGCGAGUGGCGAACGGGUGAGUAAUAUAUCGGAACGUGCCCAGUCGUGGGGAUAACGUAGCGAAAGCUACGCUAAUACCGCAUACGAUCUAUGGAUGAAAGCGGGGGAUCGCAAGACCUCGCGCGAUUGGAGCGGCCGAUAUCAGAUUAGGUAGUUGGUGAGGUAAAGGCUCACCAAGCCGACGAUCUGUAGCUGGUCUGAGAGGACGACCAGCCACACUGGGACUGAGACACGGCCAGACUCCUACGGGAGGCAGCAGUGGGAAUUUUGGACAAUGGGCGCAAGCCUCGAUCCAGCAAUGCCGCGUGAGUGAUGAAGGCCUUAGGGUUGUAAAGCUNUUUUACCCGGGAUGAUGAUGAC